GUCAGAGGGCAGCGAGGCCGGGCAGCGAGGGAGGCAGAGCCCCUCUGUUGGUGUGGGGUGGAGGCAGCCUUUUAUCCUGCGCCUCCGGUGCUGUGGCUGGGAAGGCAAGGUACUCAUGCCACCCUCCAAGGUGAAGAGAAGACCCACCUGCUUUUCUCUGCCAUCACCAGAUCCUCCCAGGCACUCUCCCCACAGUCGGUCCAGCCAGGCACACUCGGCCUGAUCUAGUGAUUCAAGCUGUCUUUCCAGGACUUGGCCUCUGCAGAGAUGGGGCUCUCUGUGUUGUCCAGGCUGGUCUCGAACGUGUGGGCUCAAGCCAUCUUCCUGCCUCCGCCUCCCAAACUGCUGGGAUUGCAGGUGUGAGCCACCACGCCCAGCCAUAAAUAAAUGUUUUCAAAAGCAUCAAGUAGUCCCUCUGAUUUUUAAAUGAUAAUGCUAGUUCUGAUGAGUUGACGACACUAAGCAGUGUGGACCUUUACUGGAGUCUCAGUAAUGUCAGCUUCCAGCUCUGAGGACGGAGCUGCAGACGUUAUGACGGCUGACCAGAAGCGUUUGUGUCGGGGACUAGGGAGGGCAGUGAUUUGGGCACCAUGAACACAGUGAGACACGGACGGGUGCAGGAAGAGGGCAGUAACAGAGUAACCCGGGAAUGCCGUCCCCACCUCCCAGGAAGGGAUCCAUUUCCCCAGAGGACAGAGGCCUGCUGCAUCUCGCCCAGCUAAUCUGACAGAAGCCAGCUGCAGCACUAGGCCUGCCCCCGGGAAGGCAUGCUGAGGCCGGG
This 781-nucleotide long non-coding RNA is filed under the name Homo sapiens (human). Its description in RNAcentral is "HSALNT0302034". The record is from RNAcentral. Lineage: Eukaryota; Metazoa; Chordata; Mammalia; Primates; Hominidae.